This 434-nucleotide ribosomal RNA is filed under the name Serratia sp. 2AT1. Its description in RNAcentral is "bacterial SSU rRNA". It matches the Rfam family "Bacterial small subunit ribosomal RNA", at positions 68 to 495 of the family's 1533-position model. The record is from RNAcentral. Lineage: Bacteria; Pseudomonadati; Pseudomonadota; Gammaproteobacteria; Enterobacterales; Yersiniaceae.
GCACRGGGGAGCUUGCUCCCUGGGUGACGAGCGGCGGACGGGUGAGUAAUGUCUGGGAAACUGCCUGAUGGAGGGGGAUAACUACUGGAAACGGUAGCUAAUACCGCAUAACGUCGCAAGACCAAAGAGGGGGACCUUCGGGCCUCUUGCCAUCAGAUGUGCCCAGAUGGGAUUAGCUAGUAGGUGGGGUAAUGGCUCACCUAGGCGACGAUCCCUAGCUGGUCUGAGAGGAUGACCAGCCACACUGGAACUGAGACACGGUCCAGACUCCUACGGGAGGCAGCAGUGGGGAAUAUUGCACAAUGGGCGCAAGCCUGAUGCAGCCAUGCCGCGUGUGUGAAGAAGGCCUUCGGGUUGUAAAGCACUUUCAGCGAGGAGGAAGGUGGUGAGCUUAAUACGYUCAUCAAUUGACGUUACUCGCAGAAGAAGCACCG